RNAcentral lists this ribosomal RNA (401 nucleotides) under uncultured Natronomonas sp. Its description in RNAcentral is "bacterial SSU rRNA". It matches the Rfam family "Archaeal small subunit ribosomal RNA", at positions 347 to 747 of the family's 1478-position model. The record is from RNAcentral. Lineage: Archaea; Methanobacteriati; Methanobacteriota; Halobacteria; Halobacteriales; Natronomonadaceae.
CCUUUACACUGCACGCCAGUGCGAUACGGGGACACCGAGUGCGAGGGCAUAGAGCCCUCGCUUUUCUGGACCGUAAGGAGGUCCAGGAACAAGGGCUGGGCAAGACCGGUGCCAGCCGCCGCGGUAACACCGGCAGCCCGAGUGAUGGCCGAUAUUAUUGGGCCUAAAGCGUCCGUAGCUGGCCGCACAAGUUCGUCGGGAAAUCCACGCGCUUACCGCGUGGGCGUCCGGCGAAAACUGUGCGGCUUGGGACCGGAAGACCUGGGGGGUACGUCUGGGGUAGGAGUGAAAUCCUGUAAUCCUGGACGGACCACCGAUGGCGAAAGCACCUCAGGAGGACGGAUCCGACAGUCAGGGACGAAAGCUAGGGUCUCGAACCGGAUUAGAUACCCCCGUAGUCC